This 1479-nucleotide long non-coding RNA is filed under the name Accipiter nisus (Eurasian sparrowhawk). Its description in RNAcentral is "lncRNA (ENSANIG00000015018.1)". The record is from RNAcentral. Lineage: Eukaryota; Metazoa; Chordata; Aves; Accipitriformes; Accipitridae.
AGUUCUUAACUGGCUGAGAACAAGGGUAGUUAUUGCCCAUUUGGUGACUCCUGAGGACAAAGUCAUAAAUAUGCCAACAUGAAAACAAAUUGUUUCUCAGUGGGAUGUUAUUAAAUGUAGGCAGGGUUACCUGCAAAGUCUCAGGUUCUGUCAGUCAUACAGGUAAAAGAUUUAAUGAUACUAACUGACUUUUAAUUCCAGCAAUGAUCUCAAGAAAAUAACUAUUUUACUGGCACUGUUUACAGAUCCUUGUAUUUAGAGGAUUACCUGUGUUUGCAAGACCAUUUGGCUACACCAGAGAACAACUCACAAAUGCCUUGUUGUUGAGCAGAGCAAGCUGCAUCUAAAUCCUCCAAACAGCAAGUUGCUCUACCAGGCGUUGACUUGCUCCGAAAUUUGUAGUAUGGGAACACACUUCAACACCUGUGUGUGUUUUGUAGAAGUUUCAGUGCUGUUCAAAGUGAUGUGCUAGAAAGAAGAAAAGGGUAGGUACAUGCAUGCUUGUGAUAAACUUUGGGUCCUCUUCUGAUAAUGACUUGGUGUAGAAGAGAGGAGGGGAAAAAAAAAAGGCUACGCGGGUCAUCAAAACAGGUAAUUCAAGAGCAGGCAGGGGCGGGAUGCGGGGAGCGGCCCGACCCCCCCCAUCCCCCCCUCCACUUCCCCGGCCCCGGGCAGGCUGGGGCGGGCCCGGCGCGGCGCGGCCGGGGCCGUGGGUGCGCUCCCGCCGGCGGUGGGGCGGACGGGCCCGGCCGCCGCCGCGGCAGCAGCAGCGGACAUCUUGUGGAGGGGGCUAGCGAUGAGGGGACGUCUUCGGGUUCGGGCCGGGGGGGCUGCGGGGCGGCGGCGUAAUUCGUUGAGCGGGCAGCGCCCCGGGAGUUAUCUGGGUCAGGGCCCCGCCGGGCGCGGCCGCGCUGACGGCCCGGGCUGCGGUCUGCCCCUCCACUCGCCUCCCGUCACCUGCGCCGGGAUGCCCACGGAGAGCCUCCCCCUUCCCACCCCCCUCCCCGGGCGAUAAGGGCAAAGAGCCGCGGAGCGGGGGAAGUCAUCGGAGCGGGGAAAAACCCCGGCAAAAUACCACCGCAGAUGAGGCAUCCUCUCUGGGGCUGAACCCGGACCUCCUCCGCCGAGGCCGUGGUCAGCGCCGGCCGUGAAUGACUCCCGGGGGGUGCUUUCGGCUGUGCCCCAGCCCCCCACCCCGGAUCCCGGCAGCCCGGCUUUGCGACGGGUUAUUAAAAAUGCCCUCCGCUUGUUUACGCAGACCUGACUCUGUCAAGCGAUGCCAGCCUUGAACUCUCUUAAUCAGCGUAAGAUGAUCUAAUUUCGAGGGAGGCGGCUGUAGUGCUGGUGGGUAGCUGGGCUCCGAGUCCUUGGUUCCCCGCGCGCUUGGAGCCAGAGGUAUGCGUGUGGUGGAGAUGACUGAGUAGCCUACAGGUUUAGCCCGGACUAAAGGGUCAAACAGCAUCCGAAGGGUGAGAGUUC